This is a long non-coding RNA of Homo sapiens (human), 598 nucleotides long. RefSeq lists it as uncharacterized. Lineage: Eukaryota; Metazoa; Chordata; Mammalia; Primates; Hominidae. The record is from RefSeq and is a predicted model, not a curated record. The transcript has 3 exons.
GGAACCUCUGGGCCAAUGGCAGUCGGGGGCGGGACCGAGGGCCGCCGAGCGCAAGGAGGAGACUGAGGAGCAGAGAAGUAACAGCGGGUAGUAUUUCAAGGGAUGACUAAGAGAAGAUGUCAGCGGACUUGAAGAGCUGUCAGCUCCAUUAGGGGAGAUGAGCGAAGGCUGACUCUCUGCCAGAAGACACACACGAGGCUCAGGACAUAUCAGGAACUUGCCUGUGGUCACAAUUAUAGAUCCUACAAGUGAAGAUUUGAGCCCACACAGGCCAGCACCGGAGCUGCCUGGGCCAGGGGCAGUCAUCAAUUUUGAAUUUUUUUCGGCUGAGCACUUAGGUAAGGGCUGCUGAUCUGGAGAAUGAAUCAGGGGCAAGGACUGAGAGAGCUGCAGAGGAGAGAGGGUAGCAGCCUGACUAGGAUAGGGUCAGUGGGAGGCAAGGGAAUGAAUUUGGAAAAUGUUUAGGAGGUAGAAUCAAUUAGUUGCGCUCCUCUCCAAAACCCUCACGGUAGAGUGGGGUCUUGGUUGCUACUCCAUUUCCCCUGUCUAGUUCAGUGCCUGGCAUAGAGCAGGGGCUCAAAAACACCCCAUGGGGGUG